AGUGGCGGACGGGUGAGUAACGCGUGAGAAUCUGCCCUUAGGACGGGGACAACAGCUGGAAACGGCUGCUAAUACCCGAUGUGCCGAGAGGUGAAACAUUUAUGGCCUGAGGAUGAGCUCGCGUCUGAUUAGCUAGUUGGCGGGGUAAGAGCCUACCAAGGCAACGAUCAGUAGCUGGUCUGAGAGGAUGAUCAGCCACACUGGGACUGAGACACGGCCCAGACUCCUACGGGAGGCAGCAGUGGGGAAUUUUCCGCAAUGGGCGCAAGCCUGACGGAGCAAGACCGCGUGCGGGAGGACGGCCUAUUGGUUGUAAACCGCUUUUGAUAGGGAAGAAGUUCUGACGGUACCUAUCGAAUCAGCAUCGGCUAACUCCGUGCCAGCAGCCGCGGUGAUACGGAGGAUGCAAGCGUUAUCCGGAAUUAUUGGGCGUAAAGCGUCCGUAGGUGGUUGUUCAAGUCUGCUGUUAAAGAGUGCGGCUUAACCGCAUAUCAGCAGUGGAAACUGGACGACUAGAGUGCGGUAGGGGUCAGGGGAAUUCCCAGUGUAGCGGUGAAAUGCGUAGAUAUUGGGAAGAACGCCGGUGGCGAAAGCGCCUGACUGGACCUGCACUGACACUGAGGGACGAAAGCCAGGGGAGCGAAAGGGAUUAGAUACCCCUGUAGUCCUAGCCGUAAACGAUGGACACUAGGUGUUG
This 697-nucleotide ribosomal RNA is filed under the name uncultured Chroococcales cyanobacterium. RNAcentral describes it as "bacterial SSU rRNA". It matches the Rfam family "Bacterial small subunit ribosomal RNA", at positions 94 to 825 of the family's 1533-position model. The record is from RNAcentral. Lineage: Bacteria; Bacillati; Cyanobacteriota; Cyanophyceae; Chroococcales.